GAGAGAGAGAGAGAGAGAGUUAAGUGAUGAAAUUUUUGGAAGAGAUAUAGGAAUUAGCUUGUAUUUUCUUAACUUGGAGCAAUGCCUUGGAAUCGAGGUUUUUGUUGCACUGGCUUUCACAGCCGAUCCAAUUGCUUCUCUAGUUGACACAGCAUUCAUUGGUCAAUUAGGCAGUAGCUAUCUUCGAACCGAGUGACCGAGUCAACUUCUGAGCUCGGAGCCUUUGUAGGGCUCUCUUAUCCACUUUUUAUUUCUGUUUAAUUUCGUUUCUGUUGUAUUCUGAACUCAGUUAGAUAUGCUUUGUUAUCGCCCUGUUAGGGUUUGAUUUGUAGGGCCGGAGGCCUUUGUUGUAAACUUUUAUGAAGCAUGCUGCCU
Molecule: non-coding RNA, 375 nt
Organism: Prunus avium (sweet cherry)
Lineage: Eukaryota; Viridiplantae; Streptophyta; Magnoliopsida; Rosales; Rosaceae
Source: RefSeq, a predicted model, not a curated record